UGCAGCGCAGGCUGGGCGGCGGGAGUCACGUGCCCGCGCCUAGGCCCCGUCCCCCACGCCCCGCGCCGCUGCCGGUAGGGCCGGGACUGCGUCCGUCCGUCGCCCCGGAAACGCGGCAGGAGCGGCGGGGGGGUGUCGCGGGCACGCGCGCUCGGCAGCAGCAGGCGGCGGAGGAAGCGUGUCGAGGCCGCCUCAGGCCCGCUUUGACACCCUGCGGCACCGACAUGAGCGCUGGGGCAGCGCCGGCCCCGGCCCGGCACCGCCCCGAUGGAGGCCGGGUCUCUGCACAGCCGGAGGGCGGGGGGCGGGGGGAGCCGGAGGGGCAGGAGCAGGCGUUGUGUCCGGGUGCGCACUCCAGAGCCGCCCGCCCCCCGCGCAGACACGCGCCCCGGCUGCGCUAGAGUCCGCACCCAGUGUUUGUAGGGGGUAGGGCGGGGUGUGGAUAUCCACAUAUACACUUGUACAUGUAUACACAUACGUGUGCACGUCAGUAUACAUACUUGGAAAGAGUGCGUGUGGCAGUGCACAUACACGUCUGCCUGUUUGUGUACACCUGCAUGCACGCACACAAACACGUGCACACUGCACACACGGUAUGCACAUGCACCCCAUGCGCUGCACUGUGUGUAUACACCUACACAUACAUAUGCGUGUGCAUGCAUGUACGUACACACACACACACACGCAUGUAUGUGGCUGCAUGGGCUCACAUACAGAGUGAGUGAGCGUGAGGCGAGCACUGGGUGGAUUUGAGCACUCGAUUCCCAGAGCAGUGGGUGCGGGGGACAGAGUUUGGUGGAGUCGCCCUUUACAAUGAGAUCCCUUUUAGCCCAGGGAGGUGAAUCCGGGCGACCCCUUUCACUGGAAGCUCAUGGGCACGUGCAGCCCUUGCUGGUGCUGUUCUUGUUUUUCCUAGCCCAUGCUGCCUGCCCAGCUGGACGUGGCCCAGGUGUAAGAGUUAAGGCUGGUUCAAUACUUAGAUUUCUGCAGUAACCUUAGGAGUGGUGUUGGUUGUCGUAUGCACCACGUAGACUCACUGAACCAGAGAUGCAUCAGCUUUUGUAAGCAUCUGGCAAAAAUCAACUUUUUUUUCCAGCAACAUCCCAAAUAAAGAAACCUUACAAGAUUGUCUCGGUACAUGAAAUGUCAGUCUCAGCUGGGCUCCUUUGUGAUAUUAGCUCUAUUAGGCAUGUAAACACCUGUAUGUGAUUCACAGGACAAACCUCGAGAUUUCAGGUAGGAAGCCAUAGCUUCAGAAGCCGUUCGUAUCUGCUGUGGUCUAAGCUCUUGGCAAGAGGUAGGGGUGGGAGUCAGUCUACUAUUUUUCAUAAUGAAAAAAUGAGUGAAAUUUUUGAAAUGCAGGUGCCACAAAAUUCAGGCAAGUUACAGAAGGGCACCUGGAGCUGAAAAAGGCUGAGAAACCAGUGUACUAGGUACAGGAAGCCAUGAUGAUAGCUUUCUCUACAGCAUCUUAAAUAGCAACUGGAUAUAUUUUUCAUGCCUGUUAAUGGGGACUGAUUUCAGAAAUGCUCCGGUGAAGACAUUAAGUAGGACUGGAAUUGUCUCCUCGUUUUAUUCACCUUAGGCCUAAAGGCCUCAAGUUGCAGUUUGUUCAUUACUGUACCUGCCAGUUUUCAGGGACUCUCCAGCGCUUGACACUCCUCACUUCCCUCUCCAGCGCUCUGCGCCGUCUUCCCCAGGGCACUAAAGUUCCUGGUUAUGCCUCUGGCUUUGCUUACACAAAAAAUUGACCCAGUUUACCUCUGGUUUACUCAAUCUGGCCAAUUUAAGUAGUGCACACCAAUUCACAGGUGGUUUUCUUGGUGUAGCUUGUGUUGAUAACUUUUUUAAACCAAUUUUAAUUAAAUAGGCACAAUAUCUGGCUCGGUGAGGCCUGAAACAUUAUUUCCCACACCCUUUGCAUAGUCAUGCAUGCACAUAGGAAAAGAAAGGAGAAAGUGCUUGAUGAAGUUACGGAACCACUUUGAUCUCAGUUAAUUUACUACAUAUCUGCUCCCUGACAUAGGAAGUUGCUUGGCUUACCUUUCUAGUAGGAUCUAUUCAUUUAGCAAUAGCAGUUAUAAUUAUGCUUUAAAAAUACUUACAGUAAAAUCUGAUUUCACAUGCUCCUGCAUUUUGGGGGGAGGGGAAAAAUCUUGACUAGAAAGUCUCACUUCUUGAAUGAAACUUUCCGUGCUUCAAAGCUCUCAAAGCUAAACAGAAUUAUUGAAAACUAGGGUUGGAAGGGACCUCAGGAGGUCACCUAGUCUAAUGCCCUGCUUGAAGCAGGACUACCCCCAACUACAUCACCCCACCAAGGCUUUUAAAAUUUCCAAGUGAACAUAAGUAAUAGGUUUAGAUGCCAAAAAUGAGUCCAGUAAGGCAGUUAUUUUAGUACUGUAGUGUAUAUGAAUCAUUGUGUUCCUGUGAACUUGAACGUGUAGGAAGAAUUAUAUUUGUCAAUCUUCUUUUGUUAAAUAGAAACCAAAAGACUUAUCUAGGCAGAAUUGUGGUGGGGGAUAUUUAUUCCAGUUUUUGCUAUAAUUUUAAAUCUUCCAAUUUGAAUGUUGUAUCACUGGGAUUUUUACCUUUAAAUGGGUAAAGUAUUGUCAUGAAAUACUGUAUGAUGCACACCCAAAGAGAAAGUACAAUGUAUUUUAAGGUUGGGAAAUUAUAUUAGAGCAAAUAGAAGCAAAAGUGUCUAGCCAAACCAAUAAUUACCCUUCCAUGAAUACUAGAUUCUGUUUCUCACCUGUCUAAACGCUUUCCUCUGGUGAGAUAGUAUCAUCUUUUUACAUUAAUCUUAGGAUUUAGUAUGGGAUAUUUUAAAAAUUGCUCUUCUGUGUAAAGUUAAGACUAACAGUCCUGAUUUCCUCAAUGCUGGAAAAAGCCCCUCUUUUUCCUGAUUUACAUACUUAGAAACAUGUUUCUAUUUUAACAAUGAUUGAUGGAGGUUGGGCGUUUUGCUUUUGUUUUGGCGAGUCUUUGCUUUUACACUGGUAUGUGGUAUCAUAAGUGGUAGGUGAUUUCCCUUGUGGAGUGGGGGGUGGGGUUCCAAAGAGGAAAUCAUCCACUAUGAAUGCUUUGGGCUUGAUUCAGUACUCUGUAAAGUCAAUGAAAAGACUCCCAUUCAUCUCAGUGUCAAUUGGAUUGGAUCCUUAAAAUGGCUUUUCUUGGGGAAACAAGAAAGAUUAAAAAUAGAUUUAAAAAAUAAAUAAAAAAACAAGACGGCUUAAAAAUAGAAUGAAAAGUUUUGACUUUUAAGCUGCUAGUUCAGGUCUAGUAAAGGCUGGUAGGGAAUAAAAGUCGUAACUGUUUGGGAACCUUUUGGCCUUUUUGAAGAUAGGCUAGUAUGAUUUGUGGUGGAAAAGCAUCAAACCCUACUUUCCAGCUUUUCUUGUGCUGUUUUCAAGGUUGCUUUGAAGACUGUUUGUUGGCUCUGUUAAUAUCUUUGGAAAUGGUGAUUUGUAUUGGACAUGGAACUUUUGUAACUCUUGGAAAGGAUUUCUAAAUGUAUUGUCUACAGAACUAACCGUGGGUAUUUUUAGAGUCCAAAAUGUGAACUGAUUCACUAAUUGAGAAAUUAACUGUUUUUUCUUCUUCUUUCAGCGCUACAACUUGUUGUGAAGCAUUUACAGCUGCUCCACUUGUGCAUAUUUUCAAACAGGCAGGAUCUUUUGAAAACGAUACCUCAUGUUAUAUUAUUAAAAUGGCUAUCCAUACAAGGCUGAGUGUAAAAAUGAAAAUGCUGACAGGUUCAAGCAGGACAGUUUCAGGAAUGUAUGACUUGAGAGAGGCAGCCAGACAGACAAUCCAAAUGCUUCAGUUGGCAGGAUGAAGUGAUAUGCUAAUGUAAGAGAAAAGGCCGCGGUGAGCGAAGCAUUUGCAGAAGAGUUACAAAGAAGAAACACUUGCCCUUAUCUGUUCUACUGUACCGAGCCAGCAAUUCUACACAAAGCGGUUAUGUCAUCUUAUAACUAAAAUAAUCAAAGUUUAAGGCAUAUAUUUUUUCUGAUUCCACGCUAGCCAGUAGGUGCGCUGGAUAUUUUUACGUCCUAGGUGCAGUACUCUGCAUUUGUCCUUGUUGUACUGCGUCCUGUUGUGUUCAGCCCGCUUUUCCAACCUGUCCAGGUCUGCCUGCAGUCAUUCCCUACCCUCCAGAGUGCUUACUUCACCCCACAAUUUAGUAUCAUCUGCAGACUUGGACACAGGACACUUCACGCCCACAUCCAAGUCACUGAUGAAGACACUGAAGAGUACAGGUCUGAGGACUGAGCUCGGUGGGACCCCACUACCCGGAUCCUUCCAGGUCAAUACCGACCCGUCUACUACCACUCUCUGGGUGCGACCCGCAAGCCAAUUUGCCACCCACCAGACCGUUUAAACAUCUAAGUCACAGCCUCUUAAUUUAUUUAAGAGAAUGGGAUGAGAUACCGUAUCGGAGGUCUUCCUAAAAUCCCAAAAAACAACAUCCACCUCUACUUCUGCAUCAGCAUUUUGUGACCUGGUUAUAAAAUGAAACCAGAUUAGUCAGGCAUGAUCUACCUGCUGCAGAUCAAUGCUGGUUGCCCUGCUUUAUCAACGAUUUGGAAGACGGGGGUGAAAAGCAGUCUGUUCAAAUUUGCUGAUGAUACCAAAAUAUGGGGAGAGGUGGGCACGUUAGCAGGGAGGGAGAGACUGCAGAAAGACCUGGAUAGGUUGCAGGGGUGGGCUAACAAAAACAGGAUGCGUUUCAAUAGUGACAAGUGCAGGGUGCUGUACUUGGGCAGUAGUAACCAGCAGCACACUUAUAAGAUGGGAAACUCCCUUCUUGAGAGCACGGAGGCAGAAAGGGAUCUUGUAGUCAUUAUUGACUCCAAGAUGAACACGGGCCGACAAUGCGAGGUCACAGUCGGCAGGGCUAACCAGACUGUAUCGUGCAACCGCAGGUGCAUCUCAAGUAGGUCCAAGGAGGUGAUCCUCUCCCUCUACGCGACACUGGUCAGGCCGCAGCUGGAGUAGUGUGUCCAGUUCUGGGCACCCCACUUCAAGAGGGAUGUGGACAACAUCGAGAGGGUCCAGAGGAGGGCCACCCGCAUGAUCCGGGGACAGCAGGGCAGACCCUACAACCAUAGGUUACGGGACCUGAACCUCUUCAGCCUUCACAAGAGAAGGCUGAGGGGGGACCUGGUGACUGUCUAUAAACUCACUCGGGGGGACCAGAAGGGUUUGUGGGAGACCUUGUUUCCCCUAGCGCCCCCCGGGAUAACAAGGAAUAACGGCCACAAGUUGUUGGAGAGUAGGUUUAAAUUAGACCUCCGUAGGAACUACUUUGCGGUUAGGGCGGCUAGGAUCUGGAACCAGCUUCCAAGGGAAGUGGUGCUGGCUCCUACCCUGGGGGUCUUUAAAAAGCGGCUUGAUGCCUACCUGGCUGGGGCCAUUUGAGCCUAGUUUUCUUCCUGCCCAGGAAGGGGGUGGGACUUGAAGAUCUCCAAGGUCCCUUCCAACCCGACUUCUAUGAUUCUAUGAUUAUUUUUCCCGCUGGACUCCCACAAAUAUGAUCCUUAAUAAUCUUUUCAAAGACUUUUCCAAGGAUGGAGGUGAGGCUGACUGACCUAUAAUGACUUGUAUCCUCUUUCCUCCCCUUCUUGAAAAUGGGGACCACAUUGGCCCUUUUCCAGUCCUCUGGGACCUGACCCGAGUGCCACGAGUGCUCAAACAGCCGUGCCAGUGGUUCUGCUAUGACACCGGCAAAUGCCUUCAGUACUCGCGGAUGCAGCGCAUCUGGGCCUGCUAACUUAAACAUAGAUUCGUAGAUGUUAGGGUCGGAAGGGACCUCAAUAGAUCAUCGAGUCCGACCCCCUGCAUAAGCAGGAAAGAGUGCUGGGUCUAGAUGACCCCAGCUAGAUGCUCAUCUAACCUCCGCUUGAAGACCCCCAGGGUAGGGGAGAGCACCACCUCCCUUGGGAGCCCGUUCCAGACCCUGGCCACUCGAACUGUGAAGAAGUUCUUCCUAAUGUCCAGUCUAAAUCUGCUUUCUGCUAGCUUGUGGCCAUUAUUUCUUGUAACCCCCGGGGGCGCCUUGGUGAAUAAAUACUCACCAAUACUCUUCUGUGCCCCUGUGAUGAACUUAUAGGCGGCCACAAGGUCGCCUCUCAACCUUCUCUUGCGGAGGCUGAAAAGAUCCAGUUUCUCUAGUCUCUCCUCGUAGGGCUUGGUCUGCAGGCCCUUGACCAUACGAGUGGCCCUUCUCUGGACCCUCUCCAGGUUAUCCGCAUCCCUCUUGAAUUGCGGCGCCCAGAAUUGCACGCAGUACUCCAACUGCGGUCUGACCAGCGCCCGAUAGAGGGGAAGUAUCACCUCCUUGGACCUAUUCGUCAUGCAUCUGCUGAUGCACGAUAAAGUGCCAUUGGCUUUUUUGAUGGCUUCGUCACACUGCCGGCUCAUGUUCAUCUUGGAGUCCACUAGGACUCCAAGAUCCCUUUCCACUUCCGUGCCACCCAGCAGGUCAUUCCCUAGGCUGUAGGUGUGCCGGACAUUUUUCCUCCCUAGGUGCAGCACUUUGCAUUUCUCCUUGUUGAACUGCAUUCAGUUGUUUUCUGCCCACUUGUCCAACCUGUCCAGAUCUGCUUGCAGCUGUUCCCUGCCCUCCGGCGUGUCUACAUCUCCCCAUAGCUUUGUGUCAUCUGCAAACUUGGACAGAGUACAUUUGACUCCCUCGUCCAAGUCACUGAUGAAGACAUUAAAGAGUAUCGGUCCAAGGACCGAGCCCUGCGGGACCCCACUGCCCACACCCUUCCAGGUCGAAACCGACCCAUCCACCACGACUCUCUGGGUGCGACCCUCCAGCCAAUUCGCCACCCACCAGACUGUGUAGUCAUCCAAGUCACAGCCUCUUAACUUGUUCACCAGUAUGGGGUGGGAUACCGUAUCGAAGGCCUUCCUGAAGUCUAAGUAUACGACAUCCACCCCUCCUCCUGUGUCCAGGCGUUUCGUAACCUGGUCAUAAAAAGAAACUAGAUUGGUCAGGCACGAUCUGCCUGCCACGAACCCGUGCUGAUUUCCCCUCAGCAUAAUUUGUCCUGCCAGGCUCUCACAAAUGUGAGCCUUGAUAAUUUUUUCAAAGACUUUACCAAGGAUGGAGGUGAGACUGACUGGCCUAUAGUUGCCCGGGUCCUCCUUCCUCCCCUUUUUGAAAAUGGGGACCACGUUGGCCCUUUUCCAGUCCUCCGGGACUUGGCCCAUGCGCCACGAGCGUUCAAAUAUUCCCGCCAGUGGCUCUGCAGUGAUGUCGGCCAGUGCCUUCAGCACCCUCGGAUGGAGCUCAUCCGGGCCUGCCGACUUAAAGGCAUCCAGUUCUUCCAAGUGACUCUGCACCAUCUCAGGGUCUACGCAUGGAAGUCUGGCGCCAUGCUGCUGCCUCUCUACAACCCCAGUGAGAGACUUGUCGUGCCCCUCGCUUAGGAACACUGAGGCAAAGAACUCGUUGAGGAGUUCAGCCUUGUCCCCCCUGUCUACACAUCCAGUCCAUCCAAGUGACUCUGCACCACGUCAGCGUUGACAGUUGGUGGGCUGGUAUCCCUCUGAUCCCAUCUAAGAGCCUGUUAGGAGACUGAUCUUGACCCUUGUUCGAGAACACUGAGGCAAAAAACUCAUUGAAUAGCUCAGCCUUGUCCCCCCCGUCUGUCACUAAUUGCUCCUGUUUCUUCAGUAGGGGUGCUGUGCUGCCCUGCGCCUUCCUUUUACUCCCUACAUACCUAACAAUAGACGUUUUGUUGUCUUUAAUUUGUGUUGCCAGCCUCAGCUCUGUAGUUGCUUUGGCCUUUCUGCCUCCCUGCAAGUGCGGGCCAAGUAGAUACACUCCUCCUUGGUAGCUUCCUCCUGCUUUCACCACCUAUAUGCCGCCUUUUUUUUUUUGCCCUUAGGCUCUUCUAGAUGUCUGUGUUUAGCCAAGGAAGUUUUUUGGCCCCUUUCUCCCCUUUCCCUCGCACUGGGAUCAUCUCCCUCUGUGCCUGAAGGAUCACUUCCUUUAGGAACGACCACCCUUCCUGGACUCCCAUCUCGCCAAUACUCCUAUCCUGCAGUGCAUCGCUGAUUAAACUGAGCACGCUGAAGUUAGCCUUCCUAAAGUCAAGCACCUCCACCCUAUUAUUAUCUUACCCACUCUACACCGUAUGAUGAAUUUGAUUGAGUGAGUGGUGGUCACUGUCCCCGAGGUGACCACGAAUCUCUAGUUCCCCUUCCAGGUCAUCCCCCAUAGCCAACACCACGUCCAGUGGGACCAUAUACUUCCUGCGUUAGGUGAACGGUUGGAUUUGGCUGACUGCUCUUCCCAGCAGAUGUCAGGGUAGUUUAGGUCCCCCAUGACAACCAUGUCCCUAGACUGUACGGCCCCUGAGAGCUGCCUCAAGCAUUCCCAGUCUAGCUCUCCUCCUUGAUGUGGUGGUCUGUAGCAGACCCCCAUCACCAGGUCCCUUUCCCCUUGACCUCCAUGUGUCCUAACCCACAAUGCUUUAACUUUCUCUUAAGACUCCCUUCUGUGCACUCACCUGGAACACUGUCUGAAGCCAAUGAUGCUGAUGCGCAGUUCAGACUCCUCCUGCUCUCCCCUCAACUAAACAGGGAUGGGAGAAAACCCCUUCCCACUUCCCUGCAGCUGGCCCAGCUCAGCUUGCUGCUGCUGCUGGUUCCUUACCGCCGCAUAGGAGCGAAGGGCGCACACAUGCUUGCUUCAGCAUCCCAACUAAAAGUCAAAUGCUCUAGGUAAGGCUUGAACUCACAACCUUGGCAUCACUUCCCCAGUGCUGUUUUAUAAGUAUCACAUGCUAACCCACCGCACCACCAGAGCUGAGUUGAAAAGCUCUUUGUCACUAUUUUAGAGCAUUUGUUUAAAGUAAUUGUAUCUCUGCUAUUGGCUUUUGGAUUUAAUAAAGACAUUUGAACUGAA
Long non-coding RNA from Alligator mississippiensis (American alligator), 8926 nucleotides. RefSeq lists it as uncharacterized. The transcript has 3 exons. Lineage: Eukaryota; Metazoa; Chordata; Crocodylia; Alligatoridae. The record is from RefSeq and is a predicted model, not a curated record.